RNAcentral lists this long non-coding RNA (1212 nucleotides) under Numida meleagris (helmeted guineafowl). Its description in RNAcentral is "lncRNA (ENSNMEG00000022707.1)". The record is from RNAcentral. Lineage: Eukaryota; Metazoa; Chordata; Aves; Galliformes; Numididae.
UCCAGGUCCAGCACAACCUUACUGCAUGCAUCAUGGUGAUGCCUGAACAAGCUUCAUAUUUUCUGAUUGUCCCUAGAUCUGUCAAGGGCCUGAACACUCAUCCAGAUCCACAUUCCUCCAAAUUAAUGGGAUCCUUGUGGCUGUCUCUAAUUUUGUUGUUCUAUUGAUUGUGGACUUGAAGAGAUGUUGCACAGCGUUAUAACUGCAUCUUCUGGCCCCACUGGAAGAUUCACACUGCAAUGGAAUGGAAACACGGCUUCUCUUCCAUGAUGUUUUUGUCUUCCAAAUAAAGAUGAACAAGAAUAUUAUGGAUGAAAAAGAGCCUUUGUUUCUCCCACAUGUCAGGGAAAUGGAGUCAUAGAGUGAGUCAAAUGUAUUGUUUGUUCUUGUACAUUUGAAAACAAAUACAACUUGUCAGUGUUUAAUAGUUAUCUAGAGAGCUUCAGAGACUGUACUAACUGCAGCCUGCCAUACUAACAAGGAAGGCUAGAAAAGCAGCUUCUGUUCUUGGAUCAGCCACGACCUUACCUUAGAACUUGGCUGAGUCACUUUCACUCCUAUUCCCUUUUUGUCUUUGUCUUCAUGGCCUUUCAGCUCCCUGGGAUGGAACCUGUGACUUUGUGUGUUUGCGGAGUGCAUCCUCUAUGGCACAUUAGUGCCAUGGAAAGACAAUGACUAAUAGCAAAAAUGAUCAAGUUAUUGGUGCAAGAAACCAGGGCAAAAUGAGAAACUAAACAGUCCUGCAGACUUGGAUUAUGUUAAGGGUCGGAUGUGCUUUUCUUUUGGAUAACAUUCUAUCUCUAUUCUAUUUUUUACAUCUGUAGCAUCAGCCACCUCGCAAUUCUUUAAGUGAUUUUAAGAAGUCAUUGCUGGAAGGUCCUCAGUGUUACAAACAUAAAUGGAAAGGCAUUUGUUGUGGAGCACUGUUCUGCACAGAGGUAUUGUCAUCAUCCUGCUGACUUAGUGGAAGGAAGAUGUACUGAGACAGCAGAGUUCCCUCCUGGAGUAGAUAGGACUGUUCCUAUAACAGGAAGGUUGAAUGACAAAGCUCAAGCAAGACUGACUGCGUCUCUGGGAAGAUAUGAGCUUUUUCUGGGCCCAUUCAACCUGCUUGCUUCUGGCAUUCUGCAACACCAUGUCCUUUCCAAAGCACGAUUGCAUCCAUUUGGUAUUUCAGAGUUCAUAUUCUGCAUUUUGAAUGUUGAGUGCUAA